This is a small nuclear RNA of Cebus imitator (Panamanian white-faced capuchin), 66 nucleotides long. Its record names the gene U7. It matches the Rfam family "U7 small nuclear RNA". From Rfam's summary of the family: Animal histone pre-mRNAs are spliced by a different mechanism than nuclear pre-mRNAs and self-splicing introns. NCBI's taxonomy places the organism in Eukaryota, Metazoa, Chordata, Mammalia, Primates, Cebidae. The record is from Ensembl.
UGGUGUUACAGCUCUUUUAGAAUUUGCCUAGCAGGUGGUUUUCCAGUGUUCACCAGUAAAACUCUA